GACGUAGGGGGCCAGCGUUGUUCGGAAUUACUGGGUGUAAAGGGUUCGUAGGCGGUGCGGCAAGUUGGGAGUGAAAUCUCUGGGCUCAACCCAGAGGCUGCUUCCAAAACUGCCGUGCUUGAGUGUGGGAGAGGAGCGCGGAAUUCCCGGUGUAGCGGUGAAAUGCGUAGAGAUCGGGAGGAAGGCCGGUGGCGAAGGCGGCGCUCUGGAACGUUUCUGACGCUGAGGCUCGAAAGCGUGGGGAGCAAACAGG
RNAcentral lists this ribosomal RNA (253 nucleotides) under uncultured prokaryote. RNAcentral's name for it is "partial 16S ribosomal RNA". It matches the Rfam family "Bacterial small subunit ribosomal RNA", at positions 524 to 776 of the family's 1533-position model. The record is from RNAcentral.